Molecule: ribosomal RNA, 466 nt
Filed under: uncultured bacterium
Lineage: Bacteria
Description: partial 16S ribosomal RNA
Rfam family: Bacterial small subunit ribosomal RNA
Source: RNAcentral
GAUGAACGCUGGCGGCGUGCCUAACACAUGCAAGUCGAACGGAAAGGCCCAAGCUUGCUUGGGUACUCGAGUGGCGAACGGGUGAGUAACACGUGGGUGAUCUGCCCUGCACUUCGGGAUAAGCCUGGGAAACUGGGUCUAAUACCGGAUAGGACCACAUUUUGGAUGGUGUGGUGGAAAGUUUUUCGGUGUGGGAUGAGCUCGCGGCCUAUCAGCUUGUUGGUGGGGUAAUGGCCUACCAAGGCGUCGACGGGUAGCCGGCCUGAGAGGGUGUACGGCCACAUUGGGACUGAGAUACGGCCCAGACUCCUACGGGAGGCAGCAGUGGGGAAUAUUGCACAAUGGGCGCAAGCCUGAUGCAGCGACGCCGCGUGGGGGAUGACGGCCUUCGGGUUGUAAACUCCUUUCGCUAGGGACGAGGCGUUAUGUGACGGUACCUGGAGAAGAAGCACCGGCUAACUACGUG